This is a long non-coding RNA of Homo sapiens (human), 971 nucleotides long. RefSeq lists it as uncharacterized. The record is from RefSeq and is a predicted model, not a curated record. The transcript is spliced from 3 exons. NCBI's taxonomy places the organism in Eukaryota, Metazoa, Chordata, Mammalia, Primates, Hominidae.
UGUCUGACCCCUGAUUCCUCAUUUCUUCCUGUGUGCCGAGAUGCCUUUGGCAGACCUAGGGGGAGCUUCUCCCCACUCUAUGGGGAAAGGAGCACCAGCUCCUUCCUCCUCUGGGUCCCCUCAAGGAGGCCAAAAUGCCCAUCAUGACCCUGAUAUUUUUCUCCCCACUCCUCUGGAACCUCACUUCCUCAUCCCAGGUGGUACCUGGGUUUCUAAUGCCCCAAACAUUCAUAAAUUUAACACAUAUUUAUUGAGAACGUACUGUAUACUAGCCCCUUGUUAGGUACUGUGACUACAGCAGCCAGCAAGACAGUCUGGGACCCAGGCCUGCUCAUACAUUCACUCUUUCCUCUUCACUAGGGUCUGGGAGAGAGCUUUGGGAUCGAGACUCAGCCCAAGGGCAGCAGGGAGCCAAGGGGCUGGGGCUGCCCGUGGGGAGUGUGUGAAUCAAAGGAGCAGACCGCAGCUGGAGCCACCUCGCCUGGAUUCCUGAACGCAGACUCUUGACAGACCGAUUGUGUAACGGCAUUCCUCCCAAGGAAACACGCCUGCCCCCUCCAAGAAGGAUGGAGGCAGAAGAGGUGCUGAGUCUGGAACCCAUGGCUGCUGCGGACGAGGAGCUGGGUGAUGCUUGCCUGGGCACCGUAUCGCUCUCAUCCUGUUUUCUCGCCUGUGAAAUGGGAAUGGCGCUCAUGCUUCUCUGUGGGAUGCUGGGAAAGGAACAUGAGGGCGUCCAUGGAAGUGUUUGAGGCAUGCCUGCUCCAGGGGGAAGCUCCAGAAAUGACACCUAUGAUCUCCCAGCUGUGUUCCCUUUAAGUUAACAAACACUCGUCUGGUCUGGGGCUGGGGUACAGCGAUGAGGAUGACCUGGUCCGAGCCCCAGGAAUGUGGGCCGUAGGAAGGGCAUGGGCAUGAAAGACGUGCUCAGGGGACCCCUUCCAGGUGUCACCAAAGAGCCCUGGGUUGUGGUG